Molecule: long non-coding RNA, 2630 nt
Organism: Rosa chinensis
Lineage: Eukaryota; Viridiplantae; Streptophyta; Magnoliopsida; Rosales; Rosaceae
Exons: 14
Source: RefSeq, a predicted model, not a curated record
CUAUUUGCCAUAACUACGCGCUGCCAUUCUCUCCUCUUUUCUGGAAGCGUCUAUCUACACCGACUCUCUCCUUUUUCAGAAUAGUCUUAGAUGUUGGAUCUGCAAGCGUUUAUUUACACCGACAGAAGCUUUUGUCCACGCCUCCACGGGAAGAUUUACUGUUUCACACCAGCGGGUUUAGUCAUCCAUCAAAGCUUCUUUUGUGUUCGUCUUGAUAACAUUAAGUCUUCGAGAUUAUCGGGUUGAGCUAUCGACCAAAGUUCAAUGAAGUUCAACAAUGUCUUUCUCAGUUAUCAAAUUAGAGCUAAUGAAAUCUUUUUUUAUACGACUUAGAAGGAGAAGAGAGUGAGAGAGGGAGACAAGAACAGGGAAGAAGGGGAAGGAAGGGAAGAAAUCUCAACAUGGAUGAUAAUUAGAAUUUUCAACACACACAAAUAUUAUAGUAAAGACCCAACAAAAGAGGUAAUUGACUAAAUGAAGGCCAUAUUAUCAGUUUCGUUCAGACUCCCAUCACCAUCUGCAAAGCUUAAAAAACUUUUGACGAUUUAAAACACACUGAUUUUGUUGUUUUUUGAAGACUGAUGCUGGAAUGAUGCUUAGUUUUUUGGGUCUCUACCAUCUCACAUUUUGUCCAUAUCCAAUCAACCACUCCUUUUCUGAAAUUGAUGUAUGUCUGCAUCGGCAAAAAUUUUGCUGCCAUAAUUUUGCAGACCUACUUUCUUCAACUGAUUUGAGGAAGUUGUGAGGAAUGUCAUUCCAACCUUGCUAAAAAGCAAAGCGCCUGGCUGAAAAGCAAAAUUGCUAAGGUCAGAAGCCAAGAGAUGAACAAUUCUUUCUUCUUUUUUGAGGAAAAAAGACAAACCCGCAGCAUCACAAAUUUGUUUUUUUACUGGUUACCAGGAAUUGCAGCAUCUCUGAAUUCUUGAGACAAAUCAUUCUCAGAUAGAGUUCAAAUAGUACAAAAAGCCAAGUUAAAACUUCAAUGGAGAAGCUUCUUAAUCCAUAUGAUAAGGCAUCAGCAUUACCAUUUCAAAGCAUGAAAAAAGCAUUCAAGGAGAAGAGCAAGCAUUACCCAUGUUGGCUGGAAGGUUGAAAGGUUGAAAGACAAGGGGUUGUCUUUUUGAAGGUUGCUCUUGGCUGCCAUCAUCUUGGCUGGAAGGUUGAAAGACAAGGGGUUGUCUUUUUGAAGUGGAUUUCUUCUGGCUUACUUUUGAUCACUGUUGGGGAUUAAACGCUGCACAUAUUCAGGAAGUUCAGAAGAGCAACUGGUCAUAUAAUUUCCACAACCACGGGAGGCAAAAAUGGAGAGCUCAAACAGCUAAAUAUAUAUGCAGACCAUGGAGUAAGAAGGAAGCUAGAGACCAUAAUGAUCACGCCGAAGCUAAGCACAAACUCACCAAAGAAGAUAUACAGAAGAAAGCAGUUACAAUGCAUUAGUCUUAGUUUGAACUCGGUUAUCAAGAAGCUUGAAAAUACCUUUGCUCUCUCUUAAUAUAUGCUCUCGCCGGUUUGACAGUAAAGAGAGAGACAGACAACCACAAUUUGCUCUUAAAGGCCUGAUAGAGUUUUUGAUCUAUUAUUUGUGCUAAUGAACUGAAAUGCUAUUACUUGAAUCAUAAAAUGUGAAGCCAACGUCCCUCUCUUCACUUCUGCAAACAAUUCACUCCCAAUUCUAACUCCCGCAGCAAUGCGCGGGCAAACAUUUCUAGUUACCUAUACUAAAGCGCUAUCUCCGGAUGAACAGUAUCUGGCAAAUUGAUUUACAUUUUUACCCCUCAUUGUUUUUUUUAUUACAACGCUGCCAUGGAACCAACUGCGAGAGAGGGAUAUAGGUCUUCUGGGUCUUUCGCGGGAGAGGUCUUCUGGUCCACAAUUUCAAUCUUCUCCGAUUUUCAUCCAUCACUGCCUAACCCAAUUAUCCAGAUCCCUUUCUCAUCUCUAUUAACUACAUCAGGACACUGGUUAGGGUUACGCCAUUUGCAGAGAAGAGUUUUGAGGUUUGUGACCGCUGUUCAAGUCGUUGGACGUCUCCUGUGAUUGAGGUUGAUAAUGUUAUGGGCUCAAGCAGGGUUGAUGAAGAUGCUGAACCUGUUUUACAAUAUGGACAUAGGUUUUCAAUUCUCUGAAGGAGAUGGGAAUUAAACCUGAAUCUAUCAUAAUUAGAUGGAUAAUAAACCUCAUGCUGAAAUCGCAUAGAAUGUAAGAGUACUGAAUGAGGGAAUGACUGGAAUUUUGAAGACAAUGUCUAUUGGAAGCAUGUUGUGUGCCGCAUCGAAGCAUAUAAGGUUGUACUGCGUGGAGGAGCUAAGUUUGAGGCAAGCGAUGUUAUCUUAAAGAAUGGUAGCACCAGAAACAUGGAAGCAGCUUUGAAACAAAGCAAAGUUAACUGAAAAGCUCCACACAGCAAAGAUCUGGAAGCAGCUGCAAAGGUUGCACAGGAAUCUUAUGUAAAAAUUGGAAAGCUGAAAAAUCAUGUACCUCUUUGGCAAGCUAGAAAUUGAUCAGUUUAGAGUAAGUAUUGGUUAUUGGCUUUCUAAAUUUUAGCAUAAAUUGGCUUGCCAGUGUAUAGAUAUCUUUCUUAAUAUUCUAAAAAUAGCUACUCAUGCAAAGUGCUUUUGGGUAGAUGCAUA